GGGUCAGCAGGUUGGUCGUGCCACCGGUACGUACUGGUCUCACUGAUUCCUCCUUCCUGAAGAACCGUAAUGCCAUUAAUUUGGUGUUGCGGGGGAACAGGACUGUUACUUUGAAAAAAUUAGAGUGUUUAAAGCAAGCUAACGCUUGAAUACAUUAGCAUGGAAUAAUGAAAUAGGACGAUCGAUCCUAUUUUGUUGGUUUCUAGGAUUGACGUA
This 216-nucleotide ribosomal RNA is filed under the name Glomeromycotina sp. Its description in RNAcentral is "partial small subunit ribosomal RNA". The stretch from base 40 to 216 matches the Rfam family "Eukaryotic small subunit ribosomal RNA", at positions 686 to 864 of the family's 1831-position model. Lineage: Eukaryota; Fungi; Glomeromycota. The record is from RNAcentral.